UACGUAGGGGGCAAGCGUUGUCCGGAAUCAUUGGGCGUAAAGAGCGUGUAGGCGGCUCGGUAAGUCCGCUCUGAAAGCCCGGGGCUCAACCCCGGGAGGCGGGCGGAUACUGUCGGGCUAGAGUCCGGAAGAGGCGAGUGGAAUUCCUGGUGUAGCGGUGAAAUGCGUAGAUAUCAGGAGGAACACCGAUGGCGAAGGCAGGUCUCUGGGCCGAUACUGACGCUGAGGAGCGAAAGCGUGGGGAGCGAACAGG
This 253-nucleotide ribosomal RNA is filed under the name uncultured bacterium. RNAcentral describes it as "partial 16S ribosomal RNA". It matches the Rfam family "Bacterial small subunit ribosomal RNA", at positions 524 to 776 of the family's 1533-position model. The record is from RNAcentral.